RNAcentral lists this ribosomal RNA (507 nucleotides) under uncultured bacterium. RNAcentral's name for it is "bacterial SSU rRNA". It matches the Rfam family "Bacterial small subunit ribosomal RNA", at positions 30 to 531 of the family's 1533-position model. The record is from RNAcentral.
AUUGAACGCUGGCGGAAUGCUUUACACAUGCAAGUCGAGCGGCAGCGCGGGGCAACCUGGCGGCGAGCGGCGAACGGGUGAGUAAUACAUCGGAACGUGCCCAGACGUGGGGGAUAACUACUCGAAAGAGUGGCUAAUACCGCAUACGAUCUAAGGAUGAAAGCGGGGGAUCGCAAGACCUCGCGCGUUUGGAGCGGCCGAUGGCAGAUUAGGUAGUUGGUGGGGUAAAGGCUUACCAAGCCCGCGAUCUGUAGCUGGUCUGAGAGGAUGAUCAGCCACACUGGGACUGAGACACGGCCCAGACUCCUACGGGAGGCAGCAGUGGGGAAUUUUGGACAAUGGGCGAAAGCCUGAUCCAGCCAUUCCGCGUGCAGGAUGAAGGCCCUCGGGUUGUAAAGCUCUUUUGUUGGGGAAGAAAAGCAGUUGGUUAAUACCCGAUUGUUCUGACGGUACCCAAAGAAUAAAGCACCGGCUAACUCCGUGCCAGCAGCCGCGGUAAGGCUAACG